Molecule: ribosomal RNA, 655 nt
Filed under: uncultured bacterium
Lineage: Bacteria
Description: bacterial SSU rRNA
Rfam family: Bacterial small subunit ribosomal RNA
Source: RNAcentral
GUAAGUCGGAGGGGUAGAGUAAGCUUGCUUACUUGAGACCGGCGCACGGGCCCUGUAACGCGUAUGCAAUCUACCUUAUACAGGGGAAUAGCCCCUAUAAAUUUGGAUUAAUGCCCCAUAGUGUUAUUGAAUCGCAUGGUUUAAUAACUAAAGUUCCAACGGUAUAAGAUGAGCAUGCGUCCCAUUAGUUAGUUGGUAAGGUAACGGCUUACCAAGACAAUGAUGGGUAGGGGUCCUGAGAGGGAGAUCCCCCACACUGGUACUGAGACACGGACCAGACUCCUACGGGAGGCAGCAGUGAGGAAUAUUGGUCAAUGGGCGCAAGCCUGAACCAGCCAUGCCGCGUGCAGGAAGACGGUCCUAUGGAUUGUAAACUGCUUUUAUACAGGAAGAAACAACUCUACGUGUAGAGUCUUGACGGUACUGUAGGAAUAAGGAUCGGCUAACUCCGUGCCAGCAGCCGCGGUAAUACGGAGGAUCCAAGCGUUAUCCGGAAUCAUUGGGUUUAAAGGGUCCGUAGGCGGUCUUAUAAGUCAGUGGUGAAAUCUCCUAGCUCAACUAGGAAACUGCCAUUGAUACUGUAAGACUUGAAUUUUUGUGAAGUAACUAGAAUAUGUGGUGUAGCGGUGAAAUGCUUAGAUAUUACAUGGAAUAC